This 254-nucleotide ribosomal RNA is filed under the name uncultured bacterium. RNAcentral's name for it is "partial 16S ribosomal RNA". It matches the Rfam family "Bacterial small subunit ribosomal RNA", at positions 522 to 775 of the family's 1533-position model. The record is from RNAcentral.
AAUACGGGGGGGGCAUGCGUUGUUCGGAAUCAUUGGGCGUAAAGGGUGCGUAGGCGGCGAGGCAAGUCUGGUGUGAAAUCCCGGGGCUCAACCCCGGAACUGCACUGGAUACUGCUUUGCUAGAGUACUGGAGAGGGAACUGGAAUUUACGGUGUAGCAGUGAAAUGCGUAGAUAUCGUAAGGAAGACCAGCGGCGAAGGCGAGUUCCUGGACAGUUACUGACGCUGAGGCACGAAGGCCAGGGGAGCAAACGG